This 192-nucleotide unclassified non-coding RNA is filed under the name uncultured fungus. RNAcentral describes it as "sequence contains ITS1". The record is from RNAcentral. Lineage: Eukaryota; Fungi.
UUAACUAUUAUAUAGUACUCAGACGACACAUAAUACAAGAGUUGGUUGGGUCUCUGGCGGGCACUCACGGACCAAAGCCCGUGGCAAGAAGCGUCCCGCCAAAGCAACAAGAGAAUAGAUAUCAAGGGUGGGAGGUCUACCCGUGAGGGCAAGAACUCUGUAAUGAUCCUUCCGCAGGUUCACCUACGGAAA